RNAcentral lists this transfer RNA (64 nucleotides) under Perkinsus olseni. RNAcentral's name for it is "tRNA-Ser". It matches the Rfam family "tRNA", at positions 8 to 60 of the family's 71-position model. Rfam says of the family: Transfer RNA (tRNA) molecules are approximately 80 nucleotides in length. Their secondary structure includes four short double-helical elements and three loops (D, anti-codon, and T loops). Further hydrogen bonds mediate the characteristic L-shaped molecular structure. tRNAs have two regions of fundamental functional importance: the anti-codon, which is responsible for specific mRNA codon recognition, and the 3' end, to which the tRNAs corresponding amino acid is attached (by aminoacyl-tRNA synthetases). tRNAs cope with the degeneracy of the genetic code in two manners: having more than one tRNA (with a specific anti-codon) for a particular amino acid; and 'wobble' base-pairing, i.e. permitting non-standard base-pairing at the 3rd anti-codon position. Lineage: Eukaryota; Perkinsozoa; Perkinsida; Perkinsidae. The record is from RNAcentral.
UGGCCGAGUGGUUAAGGCGGCGGCCUGCUAAGCCGUUGGGCUAUGCCCGCGAGGGUUCGAAUCC